GGGGUCGUAGCUCAGCUGGUUAGAGCGCCGGCCUGUCACGCCGGAGGUCGCGAGUUCGAGCCUCGUCGGCCCCG
RNAcentral lists this transfer RNA (74 nucleotides) under bacterium. RNAcentral's name for it is "tRNA-Asp". It matches the Rfam family "tRNA". Rfam says of the family: Transfer RNA (tRNA) molecules are approximately 80 nucleotides in length. Their secondary structure includes four short double-helical elements and three loops (D, anti-codon, and T loops). The record is from RNAcentral. RNAcentral also lists the same sequence under 4 other names.